GUGCUCGCUUCAACAGCACAUAUACUAAAAUUGGAACGAUACAGAGAAGAUUAGCAUGGCCCCUGCAUAAGGAUGACAGGAAGAAAAAAAAAAAAAAAUUUCU
Molecule: small nuclear RNA, 103 nt
Organism: Balaenoptera musculus (blue whale)
Lineage: Eukaryota; Metazoa; Chordata; Mammalia; Artiodactyla; Balaenopteridae
Source: Ensembl